GCCAGGUGUGGUGGUGCGCACCUGUAAUCCCAGCUACUCAGGAGGCUGAGGCAGGAGAAUCGCUUGAACCCAGGAGGCAGAGGUUGCAGUGAGCCAAGAUCACGCCACCAUACUCCAGCCUGGGUGACAGAGUGAGACUCUGUCUCAA
RNAcentral lists this non-coding RNA (148 nucleotides) under Homo sapiens (human). The record is from Rfam by way of RNAcentral. Lineage: Eukaryota; Metazoa; Chordata; Mammalia; Primates; Hominidae.